Molecule: ribosomal RNA, 374 nt
Filed under: uncultured bacterium
Lineage: Bacteria
Description: bacterial SSU rRNA
Rfam family: Bacterial small subunit ribosomal RNA
Source: RNAcentral
GAUGAACGCUAGCGGCAGGCCUAAUACAUGCAAGUCGAACGGUAGUGGUAGCAAUAUCAUGAGAGUGGCGCACGGGUGAGUAACGCGUAUGCAACCUGGCCUUCAGCGAGGGAUAGCCUGGAGAAAUCCAGAUUAAUACCUCAUAUUAUUUAGGAAUCACCUGAUUUUUAAAUGAAAGGAUUUAUUCACUGAAGGAUGGGCAUGCGUGACAUAGCUAGUUGGUAAGGUAACGGCUUACCAAGGCGACGAUGUCUAACUGGUCUGAGAGGAUGAUCAGUCACACUGGCACUGAGACACGGGCCAGACUCCUACGGGAGGCAGCAGUAGGGAAUAUUGGUCAAUGGGCGCAAGCCUGAACCAGCCAUGCCGCGUGC